Medicago truncatula (barrel medic) is the source of this 1106-nucleotide long non-coding RNA. RefSeq lists it as uncharacterized. The transcript is spliced from 4 exons. The record is from RefSeq and is a predicted model, not a curated record. Lineage: Eukaryota; Viridiplantae; Streptophyta; Magnoliopsida; Fabales; Fabaceae.
CGGUAAAGAAAUAAAUGACACACGCGCACACACUUUUUAUUUAUGAUUUACAUGGAAUAUUACGGCUUGCAUGUAGAUGAAAUUAGUUUCAAACAAUUAAAGUUUAACGGAAUACCAACUCUAAACCGCAACAUCAGCGAAUAGCAGCAAACUUUAAAGUUUAACGGAAUAUUAUGUCUUUAUUAUAGAUCACAUACAUCAUUAAAUGAAUGAACUUAGAAUGUAGUUUUUUGCUUAUAUUAAUGACCGGAGGGUGUACGUGUAAUAGCAAUGAAACAAAGGGACAUUGGUAACACUAUAUCAAAACACAUUCAUAUUCUACUAAAACAAAAAACAUUUCAACUCUUUUAACACUCUCUCUCUCUCUCUCUCUCUCUCUCUCUCUCUAUCUAUAUAUCUCUCUCAUGUGUUCGAGCUAACCAGAAGCAAACGUUCAAACAUGGCCGCAAAGCUAAAUGUGCGAAUCACAGACCACUAUAUCUAAGGGGAAAUCAGUUUCAGACGCAUGUCGCAGAAUGGCAGCACGACACGUUGAUGUUGUAUUGUUGACUGAUGCCAAUGCUUUGUUAUUUGGAAUAAUGACUAACAUGGAUAAUGCUACUAGAGUUAUUGCCGAGGGUCUGUGACCGGAUCAGAAAAUGGUGUCAAAAGUAAUGACCCGGAAUCCUUUAUUUGUGACAUCAAAUACGUUGGCUAUUGAUGCUCUACAAAAGAUGGUCUAAGAACAAAAAGUUUAAUACUGUAAAAGGAUGUGAGAAGAUUUGAAGAAGAAAGAAAGGAAAAGACAUGGGAAGACAGGGGAAAUAGAGUACAAUUAUACCUGUGACUAUGUUAUAAUUUAUAGAGUACAUGUUACAUUGGAUGAAAACUUGCAAUCGUUUUAGUAUGUAAUUCAAAAUGUGUUGCAUAGUGCAUAGUUCAUUUUCAUUAUGCAAGACAGGGGAAAUUUUAUAGAGUAUGUAAUUCAAAUUGGUUAUUAAAACUUCUCUCUAAUAUGUUAAUUCAAAUAUGAGUGAAGUCAGAGCCCGAUCAGGGUCAAACGACGUAUGAAUGUCGAUAUUUUAAGUCAAAAUUUGGGGUAUGACAAUAUCAAAUUGUUUUUUUCA